GACGAACGCUGGCGGCGUGCUUAACACUUGCAAUUCGAACGGAAAGGCCCUGCUUUUGUGGGGUGCUCGAGUGGCGAACGGGUGAGUAACACAUGAGUAACCUGCCCUUGACUUUGGGAUAACUUCAGGAAACUGGGGCUAAUACCUGAUAGGAGCUCCUGCUGCAUGGUGGGGGUUGGAAAGUUUCGGCGGUUGGGGAUGGACUGGCGGCUUAUCAGCUUGUUGGUGGGGUAGUGGCUUACCAAGGCUUUGACGGGUAGCCGGCCUGAGAGGGUGACCGGCCACAUUGGGACUGAGAUACGGCCCAGACUCCUACGGGAGGCAGCAGUGGGGAAUAUUGCACAAUGGGCGGAAGCCUGAUGCAGCAACGCCGCGUGCGGGAUGACGGCCUUCGGGUUGUAAACCGCUUUCGCCUGUGACGAAGCGUGAGUGACGGUAAUGGGUAAAGAAGCACCGGCUAACUACGUG
This 468-nucleotide ribosomal RNA is filed under the name uncultured bacterium. RNAcentral describes it as "partial 16S ribosomal RNA". It matches the Rfam family "Bacterial small subunit ribosomal RNA", at positions 28 to 507 of the family's 1533-position model. The record is from RNAcentral.